Molecule: small nucleolar RNA, 182 nt
Organism: Hucho hucho (huchen)
Lineage: Eukaryota; Metazoa; Chordata; Actinopteri; Salmoniformes; Salmonidae
Source: Ensembl
CCCUUCUUUUAAAGCACCCUGCUAAAAUUGGGAGGGCGAAGCCUCACGGCUUUGCUCUUGCAAGCAUGUAAGCACGGGUACACCAAGGAAGGAGAGAAAAGGCACAGUGUCGCAAAUGAGGCUAGGGCGGACCUCUUUCUUAAUGUCCGAUGUCCUUUGUCUCAAGGCUACGUGCUACACUG